CAAGUCGUGGGGCAGCAUGGGGUAGCAAUACUCUGAUGGCGACCGGCAAACGGGUGAGGAACAUGUACGCAACCUUCCUUUAACUGGAGAAUAGCCCCUCGAAAGAGGGAUUAAUACUCCGUAACAUAUUUUUAAGACAUCUUAUUAAUAUUAUAGCUCCGGCGGUUAAAGAUGGGCGUGCACCUGAUUAGAUAGUUGGCGGGGUAACGGCCCACCAAGUCUGCGAUCAGUAACUGGUGUGAGAGCACGACCAGUCACACGGGCACUGAGACACGGGUCCGACUCCUACGGGAGGCAGCAGUAAGGAAUAUUGGUCAAUGGACGCAAGUCUGAACCAGCCAUGCCGCGUGGAGGAUUAAGGCCCUCUGGGUUGUAAACUCCUUUUAUCAGGGAAGAAAUGUACUUUUUCUUGAGUACUUGACGGUACCAGAGGAAUAAGCACCGGCUAACUCCGUGCCAGCAGCCGCGGUAAUACGGAGGGUGCAAGCGUUAUCCGGAUUCACUGGGUUUAAAGGGUGCGUAGGUGGGCAGGUAAGUCAGUGGUGAAAUCUCCGGGCUUAACCCGGAAACUGCCGUUGAUACUAUUUGUCUUGAAUAUUGUGGAGGUAAGCGGAAUAUGUCAUGUAGCGGUGAAAUGCUUAGAUAUGACAUAGAACACCAAUUGCGAAGGCAGCUUACUACACAAUGAUUGACACUGAGGCACGAAAGCGUGGGGAUCAAACAGGAUUAGAUACCCUGGUAGUCCACGCCCUAAACGAUGAUUACUCGACAUACGCGAUACACUGUGUGUGUCUGAGCGAAAGCAUUAAGUAAUCCCACCUGGGAAGUACGUUCGCAAGAAUGAAACUCAAAGGAAUUGACGGGGGU
This 867-nucleotide ribosomal RNA is filed under the name uncultured Flavobacteriia bacterium. RNAcentral describes it as "bacterial SSU rRNA". It matches the Rfam family "Bacterial small subunit ribosomal RNA", at positions 58 to 920 of the family's 1533-position model. Lineage: Bacteria; Pseudomonadati; Bacteroidota; Flavobacteriia. The record is from RNAcentral.